GGGUAGAAGGAGCUUGCUCCUUUGAGACCGGCGCACGGGUGCGUAACGCGUAUGCAAUCUACCUUGUACAGGGGAAUAGCCCAGAGAAAUUUGGAUUAAUGCCCCAUAGUAUAUAACCUUCGCAUGUUGGUUAUAUUAAAGUUCCAACGGUACAAGAUGAGCAUGCGUCCCAUUAGUUAGUUGGUAAGGUAACGGCUUACCAAGACGAUGAUGGGUAGGGGUCCUGAGAGGGAGAUCCCCCACACUGGUACUGAGACACGGACCAGACUCCUACGGGAGGCAGCAGUGAGGAAUAUUGGUCAAUGGUCGCAAGACUGAACCAGCCAUGCCGCGUGCAGGAAGACGGUCCUAUGGAUUGUAAACUGCUUUUAUACAGGAAGAAACCCUCCCACGUGUGGGAGCUUGACGGUACUGUAGGAAUAAGGAUCGGCUAACUCCGUGCCAGCAGCCGCGGUAAUACGGAGGAUCCAAGCGUUAUCCGGAAUCAUUGGGUUUAAAGGGUCCGUAGGCGGCCUUAUAAGUCAGUGGUGAAAGCCCAUCGCUCAACGAUGGAACUGCCAUUGAUACUGUAGGGCUUGAAUUAUUGUGAAGUAACUAGAAUAUGUAGUG
This 609-nucleotide ribosomal RNA is filed under the name Flavobacterium sasangense. RNAcentral describes it as "bacterial SSU rRNA". It matches the Rfam family "Bacterial small subunit ribosomal RNA", at positions 66 to 675 of the family's 1533-position model. Lineage: Bacteria; Pseudomonadati; Bacteroidota; Flavobacteriia; Flavobacteriales; Flavobacteriaceae. The record is from RNAcentral.